RNAcentral lists this long non-coding RNA (431 nucleotides) under Homo sapiens (human). RNAcentral describes it as "novel transcript". The record is from RNAcentral. Lineage: Eukaryota; Metazoa; Chordata; Mammalia; Primates; Hominidae.
AGCAGAUGCAGGAUCCAAGCGUCUUGUACAGUCUGCAGAAUUGUCCCACUGCAAUUCAGUUGAAUAAGAAAGAAGGAGAAGCUGUGAACUGUAGGUCUAAGGACUUCUCAAACUUUUUCACGUACAUGGAGUCACCCUGGGCUCUUAUCAAAAUGUAGAUUCUGAUUCAGUAGGUCUGGGGAGCUGCUGCUGCUGCUGGUUCCAAACUACGCUGGAUUAAAAAGAGGCAAAGAAGCAGAAGAUAAGCACAGGGUUGCCUGGGAUGAAGUUUGCUCAGCCAUUAAAAGGUGGGAAAGUCUCCUGCUGCUGUGUAUAUGAGAGAAAGCCACUGUUAACGUCAUGUGUCAGCUACCCAUCAAUUGAGGCAGAGGAAGCAAUUGGUUCAUCAAUGGGUUGGUAAGAAGCCCUCCAAACCUUAAUUAUCUGAGUGC